This 629-nucleotide ribosomal RNA is filed under the name uncultured cyanobacterium. Its description in RNAcentral is "bacterial SSU rRNA". It matches the Rfam family "Bacterial small subunit ribosomal RNA", at positions 28 to 699 of the family's 1533-position model. The record is from RNAcentral. Lineage: Bacteria; Bacillati; Cyanobacteriota.
GAUGAACGCUGGCGGUCUGCUUAACACAUGCAAGUCGAACGGAGGUAGAAAUACCUCAGUGGCGGACGGGUGAGUAACACGUGAGAAUCUAGCUUCAGGUCGGGGAUAACAGAGGGAAACCGCUGCUAAUACCGAAUGUGCCGAGAGGUGAAAGACAAGUUGCCUGAGGAUGAGCUCGCGGCGGAUUAGCUAGUUGGUGGGGUAAAAGCCUACCAAGGCGACGAUCCGUAGCUGGUCUGAGAGGACGAGCAGCCACACUGGGACUGAGACAAGGCCCAGACUCCUACGGGAGGCAGCAGUGGGGAAUUUUCCGCAAUGGGCGAAAGCCUGACGGAGCAAGACCGCGUGAGGGAGGAAGGCUCUUGGGUUGUAAACCUCUUUUCUUUGGGAAGAAGAAAGUGACGGUACCAAAGGAAUCAGCAUCGGCUAACUCCGUGCCAGCAGCCGCGGUAAUACGGAGGAUGCAAGCGUUAUCCGGAAUCAUUGGGCGUAAAGCGUCCGCAGGUGGUGGGGCAAGUCGGCUGUCAAAGGUCACAGCUUAACUGUGAACAGGCGGUGGAAACUGCCAAACUAGAGUGCGGUAGGGGUAGAGGGAAUUCCCGGUGUAGCGGUGAAAUGCGUAGAGAUCG